Molecule: transfer RNA, 73 nt
Organism: Plasmopara halstedii
Lineage: Eukaryota; Oomycota; Peronosporomycetes; Peronosporales; Peronosporaceae
Rfam family: tRNA
About the family: Transfer RNA (tRNA) molecules are approximately 80 nucleotides in length. Their secondary structure includes four short double-helical elements and three loops (D, anti-codon, and T loops).
Source: Rfam
GCGAUUAUAACUUAAUUGGUAGAGUAUUAGAUUGUGGGUCUAAAUGUUGUGGGUUCAAGUCCCACUUCUCGCC